GCCGAGCGCUAUAUAUAAGUUGCAAGGACCGAAAGUACUCACCGCGUGUACGCGUGCGUUGAACUCGAGGGCGGAAACAUAUACGCUGCACCUCCCGCUCAUCGGGUAUAGGUAAUACAGUUUUGCGCUCGGGGUUUCGUCUAUAGAGUAUACCGCGCAGCUGACAAGAUGAGGACGGGGCGAAUCGCGGCGCACAAGAGGAGAGUCGAGGUCGGCUCGUCCUCGACGCCGGAGAGUCUUUUCUUUUUCUCGCCGCGCAAUCUAUUCACUUGCCCUUUCUUCCUCUCUCUCUCUCUCUCGUCACUUGCGACUAUGUAUGAGUAUUUACCGAUUCCGCCAAACAGUUAGCGCACACGCGAUGCAUACGCGCGCCGAGAGGCAAGAUUUCGCGCGCGCGGGGAGAACGGACUCGGAUAUAUAUAUAUAUGUAUAUAUAAGAGUCGCGCCUUUGCGCAGCGCCGGCACUAAGUUGUGAAACGCGCGUAUAUAGUAUGCGCCACUUUCACUAUCGCAGCCAAGUUUCAUAACUGUUAUUAUCGAGGACAUACGUAGGCCGUGUGCUGCAGCAGCAGUUCUCUCUCUCUCUCUCUCUCUCUCUCUCUCUCUCUCUCUCGAGAAAGGAGAAAGAGCCGAUCUCCAGUUUAGAAAGAUAGCCGAGCACACGAAUUGAAAAUUAGCUGCAACGCGCGGAGAGUAGCCGCAGCGACGCGUUAUUCGAGUAUACUGCAGGAGCGCGUCCUCGUCGGUUCCAUUGUUUAGCCAUGUCUAAUUGAUCCGUCCUCCGGCGCUAUACACGCCGCCGCAGACUCUGACGUCGUACACCUAUAUAGCGCGUGUACAGCGGCAGCAGCAGCACAAGUCAAGCAGAUCGCGAGCGCAGAUGAGAGGCGGAAAAAAGCAGAACGGAGCAGUGGGUGCAUAACGGCGCCCCGACCUCCAUUUCGGCAAAAGCGGAAAUCACUCGCUCCGCCUGUCUCUCUCUCUCUCUCUCUCUCUCUCUCUCUGUAUAUGUAAAUCUCUCCGCGGAGCCUCACACAAUACAUCUACACACGCAUACGCGCAAGGGUUAACAGACCAAUACAUCUCCGCGCGCUGCGAUGCUCUAUUCAGCGGCUUUUCCGACCCUGACUCCUCGCCUGCGCACGCGCGCGCGCGCGCACACGGUAAUGACCCGAAUCGAGAGAGCUCUAUGUUGAUUGUUGUAGUGUAGUGUAACGCCGGCGACGAAUUACUUUUCAGUGUGUAUAGUUACACUUCAAAACGCGAGUGAGAGAGAAAAAAUCGUGGCAGACAUUACACGCUGGACUGACACUGCGCUGUCAAGGACAAUGCUAACACGCAGACAACGAGUCGGUCCGUGUGUACGUACACGGCGGCUCUAUACUCUCAUGGUCUGUCCCUUGACUUGACUCAGUUUGUAACACGGUCACAGUUAAUAUGAUAUUGUUCUAUACGCGAUGCCGGACGCCGCCGUCGCGACACGAAAAAAAGGAGACCAUUUUUUUUCAUUUGGCCGCAUGGAAAUGACCCCGAUUGUUCCGCUUUACAUUUUCCGAUUACGCCUGCGUUUGCGCCAAGCUCUCGAGGCCUUUUGUUUAGCUCGGAGUGUUCGGUCCGUUUUGUGAUCGAUUGAAUUUUCGCCAAAGCGCCUCGAGAGGCGAAAAAAAUUGAACACGACGACGAUUUCCAACGGAACUCAUAGCCGAGCGCACGAGCGCGCGCGCACAACGAUCGAUUUGAUGCUUUAGGGUCACGUGGUUAGGGCUACAACGUGCCAACGUGUUGCCGGCGGCUCUCUCUCCGUCUAUCUCGCGUAUAUACUCAUAUAUACCUACAUACUCGGCUGGCUCCGGGAAUCACCUUGCACUCGAGCCUCGGUUCGUUCGAUUUUUUUCUCGAAUAUACACCGAGCACGUUUAUACAGCGGCGAUGUUUGCGUCUUCUACACAGGAACGAGGAGUCGACGCGUUCGAUUUCCUGCGAAAUUAUGCGCGCAUCUUUUUGCUGAACCGACACGCAUAACGUAUCUCCUGCGACUAGAGUGGAACACGCGCGAGGGACCGAGUGCAGAUAGCCACGAAGCAUUAGAAUGAAUCCAAUAUAUAGAAUGUCUCAAAACGGAUUUCCCUUCGGCAAGUUAUGCACCAUUUCACAAGAAUGAGAGAAUCCAAGAGAGAGAGAGAGAGAGAAAGAGAGAGAAGCAUGCAGUUGAAUUUAAAAAGUCGCCUAAAUUAAUAAGAGCGAGGAGUAGCGACAUCCGACGGACUAUUUCGCAAACACUGCGCAGCUUGAAAAUCGUUUAUUCUCUCUUUUUCAGAUUCGUCUUAUAUUAUCGUCUUGUUAUUUACGUAAUAACUUUUUACUGCAAGCAAAAUUGACCGUUAAAAUAAGUAUACUCGGUACGCAGAGCGUGAAUUUUUGCACUAGAAAAAUUCGAAUGUACAUGUAUGGCAAACCAUUGUGAAACAUCGUACUAUGCGAACAUUUUUACGCACUCGCAAUUUUUUCGUUUGCAUGCGCACAAUCGCAAGCCAUAAUUGUGAGGUUACAUCGAGAACGUUAGUACAGAAAUUUCCGUAAAAGAGGAUUAACUAUUUCUGCGUCACGCUACGCAACACACGCCAGUUAUACGUAUGCACGAGCCGCACGUUCCGCUCGAAUGCUCGGACAUUAUUUGUUAAAUGAUUUUUUUGCAUCUUAAUUACCGUGUCUAAUGCGGUUAUUGAAUACUGUCGCAGUAGACGACGUAUAUGUAUAAGUAGGCGCUUGUAAAGUAGAAGAAAACGAGACUCACCAAUGGGGGUUUAAUUCCACAUCCACGCAGUCACACUGCUGGAUAUGGGAAUGGGGUCUUCCGGAUGGUGCUGAAACACAACAAAUUUCAUUGAUGCUUACAAAACUGACCGAUCACAACGCUGAAAGUGUAUCGGGGGAAUUUAUAACCAAACAUUUACGUUAAAUUUUGAUGACGACGCGGCUUUUCGAUUGACAACUGCUGGCAACACUUUUAAUUUCAUUUCAAAAUACAGUUACAAUGACCCACUCCUUUGAUUUUUCGUUCAUUAGUGUAAUUACAAUAACACUGGCAUUUUCAAACCUUGUUCAAAUUGCGUACGCGCAUCUUUGAAUUAAAAAAAAAAACAAAAAUAAGUAUAUUUACGAUAGAUGGCACGCCGCGAUACCCAACUGAAUUUGUUUAUUUAUAUAACUCCAACAUGCGAGCUCGAUUUGCAAAUCAAUCAGCCAAAACGACGCAGAAAAAAUCAACCAAGAAAAUUAUUUUCGUGUCGAGGGAUCUGCACGGUACACGGUAUUGAAUAAAUGUGCAUAGAGCAUGACAAGAAAGCUAAACUUAGCCCGAGUAGACAUUCUGCGAAAAUUUAUAGAAAGGAAAGAAGAUGCAGUGCAAAAAAGCUAGGUUAGCUUUUCAUCGAAGAGUUCGCAAACGCGUAUCGACGCCCCGUAACAUGGAAUCCGGCCGAGGCUCCGCAGCCGAAACAACUCUGGCACGAGAGGCCUUAUCGGAACGAAGCGGCGAAAAGAAUGAAAAACCUCUCGUUAUCCGGCCGACAAUGAUAAAAUAAAACAUAUGAAACUUACCAACAACCUUGGUGAAGGUGCCGACCAUUAGCCGGCCGCCUGCUUGUUACACGCACUGAGACGCGCUUUGAGCUAACGCGUCCAAGUCGAGAGAUUAUGCCGACUAAAUCGAGUCAAGUCCUUGAUCUCUGGCACGCAGUUAGACUUAGGGUAAACUCGUACUCUGCGGCAUCUUACACGAUUUUUUUCCGAUAUAUAGAGAACCGAGAGAACGAUCAGCAGCAGCCCGACGACGGGACGUCGCGACGCGCACACUGAUGCGCUAUGCGUUGCUUGUACAACUAGGUAUACUCUAUAGCUCGAUCAGCCGAUCACUAAUUCGCGCAUCUUACUUUUGCUUUAUGAAUUUAUUUAAAGAGCUAGGAACAAAAAAUAUUGCAGCUAAUGCCGACGUCAGCGUCGUAAAGAAUACUUGAAAUAGGACUGAAGCGAUAUUAAGCGUAUUCAUAAGUAUAUGCCAGUAUUUUGAAAUUAAAAAAUGCUUUAUUUUGAACAAAACGCGCUCUUUUACUUUUUAUCCUUACAAAAAUAGACAUGUGUGUAUGUAUGUACAUUUCUAGGCAGAUCUUUUUUUUCAAAUUAUUAAUACAACAUUGAUUCUAUUUAUAAAGAACAGAGAGUAGUGCAGUAGGGUUUACACACAUUAGAUCAAGACUUAGUUCAAACAAUCUGAUUCACGACGUCAGGCGCUGCGUAAAUUGUCUAGUAUAAAUAGAUAAUACUGAGAUUCUUUUGUUAAAUUCAUAAAGUAUGUACAAUCAUUAUAAUGCUUGAUCUUGUUGUUCAAGGAACUGUUUCAGCAGUGCAUUGUCUAAUGGAAUCACAAGGUACUCAACUCCAUCAGAAUUUCUUUUAUUUUUGACAAGCUUAUGAUCGACGAAUUCAGUUAGUUGAGAUCUUAAUGCUUGAUCUGAGGAUACAAGAAAACCCUCUCUAGAAGCUCUGUAUAAAUCUUUAAAUGCCAUUCCUAAAAAAAUAUUUUUUAUUUAAUACAAGCUUUAUACUGCUUUCUAAAAUACAAUCAUGCAUGAAAAAUACGAACCAGCAUAAUCUUUGCCACUGUUUGUCAAUUGAUAUUUAACAAGUAAGAUGUAUAUGUCUUUGGCAUUUUUAGUUAAAGACGCAAAUACGUUUUGUAAUGAUAGUAAGGCCAAUGUUCCACUUUUUUGGACAAGCAAUGAACUUUCGUAAGAAGUUUCAGCUUCAUAUGGCAUAAAGGUAGUAGCAUUGAUCCAAUAAAAAUUAUACCUUGUCCUUUUCACGUUAUCCCAAACUGUAAUAGUAGCGAUGGUUACUCAAAUAUAUCUAUGAAAGAAAAUUCACUAAAAUUAAAUAUUGUCUUACUUAGUGGGGCAUUGAUGUGAUCUACUGAAGCUAAUACAUGAAUAUUUGAUAUGUUUGCUAAACGAGAUAACAUGUCUUGCACUUUGUUAGAGCGUAACAUUCCACCAUCAAUAUUGUGAAUUAAUAAAUAUAUGGCAUCUUUUGGAUGAGUU
This 5096-nucleotide long non-coding RNA is filed under the name Nasonia vitripennis (jewel wasp). RNAcentral's name for it is "uncharacterized LOC103316087". The record is from RNAcentral. Lineage: Eukaryota; Metazoa; Arthropoda; Insecta; Hymenoptera; Pteromalidae.